GACGAACGCUGGCGGCGUGCCUAAUACAUGCAAGUCGAACGAGAGCGACCGGUUCUUGCACUAGUCAAUCUAGUGGCGAACGGGUGAGUAACACGUGGGUAACCUGCCCAUCAGAGGGGGAUAACAUCCGGUAACGGAUGCUAAAACCGCAUAGGUCUUCGAGCCGCAUGGCUUUGAGAGGAAAAGAGGCGCAAGCUUCUGCUGGUGGAUGUACCCGCUGUGCGUGAGGUAGUUGGUGAGGUAACGGCUCACGAAGGCCGUGAUGCAUAGCCGACCUGAGAGGGGGAGCGGCCACAUGGGGACUGAGACACGGCCCAAGCGCCUACGGGAGGCAGCAGUAGGGAAUCUUCCGCAAUGGACGCAAGUCUGACGGGGCAACGCAGCGUGAGUGAAGAAGGUUUUCGGAUCGUAAAACGCUGUUGUUAGAGAAGAACAAGUGCUAGAGUAACUGUUAGCGCCUUGACGGUAUCUAACCAGAAAGCCACGGCUAACUACGU
RNAcentral lists this ribosomal RNA (497 nucleotides) under uncultured bacterium. Its description in RNAcentral is "partial 16S ribosomal RNA". It matches the Rfam family "Bacterial small subunit ribosomal RNA", at positions 28 to 506 of the family's 1533-position model. The record is from RNAcentral.